AUUGAACGCUGGCGGCAGGCUUAACACACGCAAGUCGAGCGGAGAUGAGGUGCUUGCACCUUAUCUUAGCGGCGGACGGGUGAGUAAUGCUUAGGAAUCUGCCAUUUAGUGGGGGACAACAUUCCGAAAGGAAUGCUAAUACCGCAUACGUCCUACGGGAGAAAGCAGGGGAUCUUCGGACCUUGCGCUAAAUGAUGAGCCUAAGUCGGAUUAGCUAGUUGGUGGGGUAAAGGCCUACCAAGGCGACGAUCUGUAGCGGGUCUGAGAGGAUGCUCCGCCACACUGGGACUGAGACACGGCCCAGACUCCUACGGGAGGCAGCAGUGGGGAAUAUUGGACAAUGGGCGGAAGCCUGAUCCAGCCAUGCCGCGUGUGUGAAGAAGGCCUUUUGGUUGUAAAGCACUUUAAGCGAGGAGGAGGCUACUAGUACUAAUACUACUGGAUAGUGGACGUUACUCGCAGAAUAAGCACCGGCUAACUCUGUGCCAGCCGCCGCAGUAA
Molecule: ribosomal RNA, 501 nt
Filed under: uncultured bacterium
Lineage: Bacteria
Description: partial 16S ribosomal RNA
Rfam family: Bacterial small subunit ribosomal RNA
Source: RNAcentral